GAUGAACGCUGGCGGCGUGCCUAAUACAUGCAAGUCGAGCGAACAGACGAGGAGCUUGCUCCUCUGACGUUAGCGGCGGACGGGUGAGUAACACGUGGAUAACCUACCUAUAAGACUGGGAUAACUUCGGGAAACCGGAGCUAAUACCGGAUAAUAUAUUGAACCGCAUGGUUCAAUAGUGAAAGACGGUUUUGCUGUCACUUAUAGAUGGAUCCGCGCCGCAUUAGCUAGUUGGUAAGGUAACGGCUUACCAAGGCAACGAUGCCUAGCCGACCUGAGAGGGUGAUCGGCCACACUGGAACUGAGACACGGUCCAGACUCCUACGGGAGGCAGCAGUAGGGAAUCUUCCGCAAUGGGCGAAAGCUUGACGGAGCAACGCCGCGUGAGUGAUGAAGGUCUUCGGAUCGUAAAACUCUGUUAUUAGGGAAGAACAAAUGUGUAAGUAACUAUGCACGUCUUGACGGUACCUAAUCAGAAAGCCACGGCUAACUACGUG
This 497-nucleotide ribosomal RNA is filed under the name uncultured bacterium. RNAcentral's name for it is "partial 16S ribosomal RNA". It matches the Rfam family "Bacterial small subunit ribosomal RNA", at positions 28 to 507 of the family's 1533-position model. The record is from RNAcentral.